RNAcentral lists this ribosomal RNA (237 nucleotides) under uncultured bacterium. Its description in RNAcentral is "partial 16S ribosomal RNA". It matches the Rfam family "Bacterial small subunit ribosomal RNA", at positions 118 to 354 of the family's 1533-position model. The record is from RNAcentral.
UGAGCAAUCUGCCCUUCUCUUCGGAAUAAGCGUUGGAAACGACGUCUAAUGCCGAAUACGACCUCCUUUCGCAUGAUCGGAGGUGGAAAGCUCCGGCGGAGAAGGAUGAGCUCGCGGCCUAUCAGCUAGUUGGUGUGGUAAUGGCCCACAAGGCGACGACGGGUAGCCGGCCUGAGAGGGUGACCGGCCACACGUGGGACUGAGACACGGCCCAGACCUCCGUACGGGAGCAGCAGG